This 373-nucleotide long non-coding RNA is filed under the name Parus major (Great Tit). RNAcentral's name for it is "lncRNA (ENSPMJG00000008079.1)". The record is from RNAcentral. Lineage: Eukaryota; Metazoa; Chordata; Aves; Passeriformes; Paridae.
UCAGACAGCAAGAGUUGCUUUACAUUGCCUUUUGCUCUCUGGGUCUCUCAGUUCUGCAGCUUCUCCCAGUGUCUGGUGUUGCAAGAAGGCUCAAAUCCUCCUGACUUCCUUCAGAACAUCAUUAACAAAAGUAAUGCUCUCAUGUGGCUGCGAUUUUCAAGUCCAGUGGAUAAAAAUUAAAGACAAUGAGAGGCUUAUUUGUGCACUUGGAGGAGCUCAACGCUGUGCAAUUGUUUGGAAGUUUGGAUUGCCUAUUCAUGGCAAACAGCAGCUGUGCUCAAUUACACUCCAUCCAUCAGGAGGGACAGCCACAGCAGAGAGGCCCCUCCUGUCCCCUGCACCCCUCACUCCUGCUGCUCCACUACACAUCUGA